AAGAGAGCAAGCCAAACACCUAAUCUUUCCCCGAAUGCAGCUUGUGCAAGCUCGACAUAUCUGUUAUACCUCUUUCCCGGAACAGCUUCAUGUAGCUGAACUAAAAUCCACAAGGUAUAAAGUUGCCAGAAGUAGGCUAUGGUCAAGGACAAUAUUCCCCAACUCCAGCCAAGGAAAGCGAAGGCAACAGGCAAAACCAGGGCCUGAAAUCCAACACCAGCAUUGAGAUUAUGAAACGCAGCGUAAUGAGCGUUGCCAUUGCGAGACUCAGUGAUGGGUAGCCAAGCAUCUUGUGGGUUGAGCUUGGUUAGGUGUCCAACCUCCUCCAAAUAUCCCUUCAUGUUUAUCAAAACCCUCUUCAUCGGCGUCCCUAUGGGGCUCAAAAACCUCGGCGAUAUGAACGACGUUGGUGUCCAAGCAUUCGACGAUUUCGCUUCCUUCGAAGGAGGCCUCGGCGAUCGCUGACCUGACGGCGUUAGAAUCUCCGGCGUCGAGGCACGGGGAGUCGCCGGAAUGGAUAUGAGCUCCGUCUCUGGCCUCUCCUCCAUCUCUCUCUCCCCCUCUAUCUCUCUGUAUCACUACUAACUCAAAUGCUUGUCUCUGGACGAAGAAGUGAGUACGAGAAGGAAGAAAUAAUCAAAGAAUGGACUUUCUCUGCUAUUUCAUUUGUUCUUUUCUGGUUAUUGGAGAGAGAAAGAAACGUAGAAAACUCACCCAGUGACUGAACACUGAAGAGG
Molecule: unclassified non-coding RNA, 737 nt
Filed under: Hevea brasiliensis (rubber tree)
Lineage: Eukaryota; Viridiplantae; Streptophyta; Magnoliopsida; Malpighiales; Euphorbiaceae
Source: RNAcentral